CUCAAAGAAGAACGUAAGCUAAAUGAGAUUUACUUGCUGCUGAUACCACGGACUAAUCUAUGCAAGUGGUAACCUUUGUUGCCACAAUCUCAGUGACAUUCACAUUUGUCUGCCUAGAAUAUCAGGGACCACUGGCUGUUUUGCAUAGGCAAAUGGGAGGGUUUACCAGGGGUUCGCGAAUCGCGAGUAUCAAAAUUACACGUACACUCAAAGCACUUUAACAACAUAUGCUAAAUGAACAUGGUGCAUGUCCAUAGGUCCAGGCACCCAGUUGCUCAUGACUACAACAAUUUAAGUAGCCUUAUCCUAUUAUAACGGGGGUACAUGUGCUAGGCAAACAUAGCAUUUUG
Molecule: non-coding RNA, 350 nt
Organism: Pelobates cultripes (western spadefoot toad)
Lineage: Eukaryota; Metazoa; Chordata; Amphibia; Anura; Pelobatidae
Source: the annotation of a GenBank genome assembly